CAUGUGGCCUCUCUGGUUUCCACAGGUAAUCUUUGAUAUGAGAUAGUGUUGAUGGUUCUCCACAAAUCUCGGCCAACUCAGUACUGAUAUGUUUAAGCCGGAAUGAAGCUAUUGUACUGAAGUGUUAAGAGAGCAUUGAGUUGUGAAAGCCCAUUCUCCAGUUUCUAGAUGGCAUUCAUGCUUAACAGGGAGUCUCAUCCUAGCUCCCCUGCUGCCCUGAGAUGCAGGUAUACAAAGGUGCGUGCGGCAGAAUGUUGUCUCCAUGGCGCCGGGAAAGUGCUGCGGUGGCGAUUGGCUAGAGUGCGGGUGUUGUUGCCUGGAAGUGUUCCGACGGCGUGUGG
Long non-coding RNA from Lolium rigidum, 341 nucleotides. RefSeq lists it as uncharacterized. NCBI's taxonomy places the organism in Eukaryota, Viridiplantae, Streptophyta, Magnoliopsida, Poales, Poaceae. The record is from RefSeq and is a predicted model, not a curated record. The transcript has 4 exons.